RNAcentral lists this long non-coding RNA (725 nucleotides) under Spirodela polyrhiza (greater duckweed). RNAcentral describes it as "long non-coding RNA (SPOL_LNC002612)". The record is from RNAcentral. Lineage: Eukaryota; Viridiplantae; Streptophyta; Magnoliopsida; Alismatales; Araceae.
CCUUUCCUUCUUCUGCACUGGUGCAUUCAGGGGGUUCCCCCCAUUUCCGGAUAACAGGGAUUGGAUGAGGAUACAAAGAAGAAGAGCAGAGGCCCACAGCAAGAAGAGCCACGGACAUGGAUUUUUCCUUCUCUCUCUCUCUGAUCCCGCCCAGGAUUGACAGACAGAUAAAAGUUCGGAAACAAAGAAAAAACGGAGAGAAAAGGCGCCCGGAGAAGUCAUACCUGGCCUCUCCUGGGCGCUUUGCCUUGAUUUCAGGGCCAGUCGAGUCGGAAAACCACGACGGAAGAAGGGAGACGACCCUGCUUGCUUCCUCACACUGCAGCGCGAGGAACCAAAGAGGGUGAUCGCAAGAUAGAAGCCGCGACGCCCCCUCUGAUGGAGCAGAAUUUUUGGGCCAGAGAAAACGGCAUGAGAGAAGGGAGGAAGAGGGAAGGGAGGGAGAGAGAAAGAUCGGAAUUCCAGCAGACCUUUCUCUUCCGACGCUACCCAGAUAAUUCCGUCUACCAGUUCUGCUCUUUCUCUGCUGCCCAGCGCCGGACGGAUGAAGCCGAGGGGGGAUAUGGACAGCCGCAGCAGGAGAGCGACGGAGACAGGGAAAUGGUAGGCGUCUCUCUCUCUCUCUCUCUCCCUCUCUCUCUCUCUCUAUUUACCCGCCGGUUACUAGACAGGGAGAGAGGAAUCCAGCGGUAGGAGGGAGAACGGCUGGCACGACGAGAGGAGNN